RNAcentral lists this ribosomal RNA (577 nucleotides) under uncultured bacterium. RNAcentral's name for it is "bacterial SSU rRNA". It matches the Rfam family "Bacterial small subunit ribosomal RNA", at positions 46 to 667 of the family's 1533-position model. The record is from RNAcentral.
GCCUUAACACAUGCAAGUCGAACGAAGGCUUCGGCCUUAGUGGCGCACGGGUGCGUAACGCGUGGGAAUCUGCCCUCAGGUUCGGAAUAACAGCGANAAAUUGGUGNUAAUACCGGAUGAUAUCGCGAGAUCAAAGAUUUUGCGNNGGAGGAUGANCCCGCGUAGGAUUAGCUAGUUGGUGUGGUAAAGGCGCACCAAGGCGACGAUCCUUAUCUGGUCUGAGAGGAUGAUCAGCCACACUGGGACUGAGACACGGCCCAGACUCCUACGGGAGGCAGCAGUGGGGAAUAUUGGACAAUGGGCGAAAGCCUGAUCCAGCAAUGCCGCGUGAGUGAUGAAGGCCUUAGGGUUGUAAAGCUCUUUUACCCGGGAUGAUAAUGACAGUACCGGGAGAAUAAGCUCCGGCUAACUCCGUGCCAGCAGCCGCGGUAAUACGGAGGGAGCUAGCGUUAUUCGGAAUUACUGGGCGUAAAGCGCACGUAGGCGGCUUUGUAAGUUAGAGGUGAAAGCCUGGAGCUCAACUCCAGAAUUGCCUUUAAGACUGCAUCGCUUUGAAUCCAGGAGAGGUGAGUGGAAU